Molecule: long non-coding RNA, 364 nt
Filed under: Danio rerio (zebrafish)
Lineage: Eukaryota; Metazoa; Chordata; Actinopteri; Cypriniformes; Danionidae
Description: si:ch211-64c10.1 (ENSDARG00000096286.2)
Source: RNAcentral
CACAAAGCAAAUGCAUUCACUUAGGAUGGUUCACCCUAAAAAAUGAAAAUUCUGUCAUUAUUUACUCACUCGUAAACCAUUAUGAGUUUCUUCUGUUGAGCACAAAGAAAGAUAUUUUGAAGAAUGGCGAUUGCUGGUACCCAUAGACUUCAAUAUUAAUUUCUUUCCUACUAUGAAAGUUGAUGCAACCAGCAUUUUUCAAAAUCUCUUCUUUUGUGUUCAACAGAAAAAAAUUGGUUUAAAACCACACAAGAGAAAAUAAGUUGAGGUUAUUUACAUUUUGGGUUAUCUAUCCAUUUACCAACCUUGUAAUUGUAACCUCUCAUUAAGACUGCCUUUUUCCUAUUUCACAAUAGAUAAAAUG